RNAcentral lists this long non-coding RNA (4446 nucleotides) under Homo sapiens (human). RNAcentral's name for it is "HSALNT0333214". The record is from RNAcentral. Lineage: Eukaryota; Metazoa; Chordata; Mammalia; Primates; Hominidae.
AGAGUGCUAAGGAUUGAGGGAUUAAGAGGAGGUGAUUGUAUUAUUCCUCUUUUCAGAUAAUGGAGAGAGAGAAGAGAACAGCAGUAGCCGUUGCCAGAAAUAUUGAUUGUUGGUGGCAUAUAUAAUGAGUGCUGGGUGUUAAGGAAGCAAUGGUGAAGGAGAGACACCCUCCCGACCCUCAUGGUGCUUGCAGCCUAGUGGAGCUAUGAAAAGAUAGGCAAGUGAGUCCUAUGAUUGGAGAAGUAAUGAGAAGUAAUGAGAAGCGUCUUCUAAGCAUAGGGGUAAAGACUGCAAAGACCCUGAAGGGAGAAAGUAAUGGCCAUUCUGAGAACUGAAAGUUUGCACAGUGCACAGAGGGCAUGAAGAACGAAGGAAAGAGAUUUUUUUUUUUUUUUUUUUGCCCAAGAUGGCAAGUUGCUUAAAACCUAAAGCUCCUUUCAAUUCUUUACAAUCCAAGAUUAUAUGGAAUGGACUGGGAACAAAGAGAGGGACUGGCAUUUAAAGUCUUUUAUACACUUUGGAACAAAUGUUAUUCUCCAUUCAUCCUGACACUAAAUUGGUUAGCCAAACCCAAAGAUCUACUAAUAAUCCUGCUUUGGCAUGGGAGAAUGAGUGAGAUAAGGAGGCAAUAGAGGAGAUGAAUCGACAAAUGGAAGGAAUAGAAUUCUGGUUGAUGUCCUUGUCUCUAAGCUGUAGCAGCAAGUAUUUAUCCUAAUCAUGUGGUGUUAGCACGGAGAUGAGAAAGAGAGAAAGACAACAUCAUGCUUUGCUGUCUGUGUGUGAACUGAGUAACAGCUGUGAAGGAUCAGUCACCAAAAGACUUUGAAAGAAGAGGCUUGAUUGGUCACGGUAAUGAUGCUCCCCUGGCCAUGGAAGUUUAAUUGGGAGAAAAGAACAUCUGCUUAUACGAAAACAUAUUAUAUUCAGCCAUCCCUGCCCUGACUUUGGCCUUUAAAAACAGUGGCAUUAAUUAUCUCAACAAAUGAAUCUUCGGGAUAAAAAUAAUCUAAAUAUUAUUUUACGCUUACUACAUAUUUGCAACGUGCUAAGCUCUUUAUGGUUGCUACCACAAAAAACAUUUAUAAUAUGAGGUGGGUAUUUUUAUUAUAUACAUUUUCAGUUUAAAGACAGUAACUUCAGAAUGUAACUUGUCCUAGUCACACAAAAGCAGGUGUGGACUAAAACUCAAACCCAUGAUUCUUUCACUUUAAAUGAUAUGGUUCUGAACCAUUAAAUUCGAAUGCUACUAAGAAUGGUGAAUGCUAAGCAAUGUUAAGCUACACAUUGUUAUUAUUAACAAAUAAUUUCAAAAGGGCAGGAGAGGUAGGUUAAAAAUUAAAGGGUUAAGCUGGAAUAACAUGUCAAAUUUCUCAGAGUUUUUUAUUUUCAUGAAAAAAUAUAUUUUAUAUUGCAACAGAAUGAACUUGACUUAACAGUUUAGGUAGCUGAUUGCAUAUAUUUUGAUAGUCCUAUCAUAUUUCCAACAAAUACAUUUUCUCCCCACCCCACCUGCAACUGGAGACUUCACAAGGUUAGGAACAGGCUUCACUUCAUUGUGAUGUGUGUAAGGUGACAGAGGACAUAUAACGAAUACGUGGAAGAACUAGGAAUUUGACCUUAGCUUCCAGACAUUUUGAGGAGGAUACACUAUGUCCAUCUUGCUUUCCUAUCAAGAAAAGUAUACCCAGUUUGUGCAGUAGCCCUGUACCAACAGAUACAUUACAGCAGGUUGUUUCCGUAUUUUGGCUAUUGUGAAUAGUGCUGCAAUAAACAUGGAAGUGCUGAUAUAUCUUUGAGAUCUUGACUUCAAACAAAAGAAGAAAAUCUUGCAAUAUAUGACAACACGGAUUAACCUGGAGGACAUUGUGCUUAGUGAAGUUAGCCAGUCACAGACUGACAAGUACUGCACGAUUCCACUUAUGAAGACUACAGUUCCUAUCUUCACAGGUGGCUGUUAGCUCUAAAUGAACUCAUUUAUUUUGAAAGCAUGAUUUAAAGUAUAGUUUUAAACUAUAAGCAUUUCAGAAGUGAUGACCCAUGACUCAAAUCUCAAAAAUAAAUGCUACAGUUCACAGUUGGAAUAUGGACACAAGAAAAAUAAUAGGUGAGUAAAAAAAGAAUUUUUACCACAGAACAAAAGUUUAUUAAACACAAUUAUGAAUGAAUAUUAAUGUCAACAGAGUGCUUUUUAGAUGCCUCCUAAGCUUUGUAUGCACCUAAAAGAGAUACAAGUCAGCUCAGCUGCUAAGGAAUAGGCAGACCAGAAUGCAGUCAGAGAAAUAAACAGUUGAACAGAUAAUUCCAAAAGGAUGUGAUAAGUGUUAUGGGGGGAAUUCGGAGAAAGUGCCGAGGCAUCACACAGGAGAGACCAGCUGUCCCUGGCAUAGCUGGUGGAGAUCUUAUUAAACAACGAUACUAAGGCUGACUCUUGACUAUGAAACGAAUUUCACAGAGAAACAAGCAAAAAAGCAAUAGAAAUAUUAAUUUGUGUACCCUAUUUCAUGACAAUUAUAUACAAAAACAGAACGUUCAAAGCCUUAGGCAAUAAAACUGAUAUUUCUUGCAACAGGCUUUGGCCAAAAAAGAGUGCAGUUCUGUGAUGAAUAUCAGCUUCAUCAACAUGCCCCAGGCACCGUGAUGUCCCUCCUCUGCUCUGCUGCAUAACAGGGUGGAGACCAAAUCCAACAGUAUGAACAAGCAUCCAUCAAAACCACAGUUCUAUUAUUGAGACCAUUUCUGAUUGAAUUUCCUCAGCAGACUAUCCAAGUCGUCAUGUUCAUCAAGGUAUUCAAUUUAAAUGACCAUUAAAACGAAAUUAAGUUGGUAUUAACCUUGUCUUUUCAGAUGAUGCCACUGAAAGGUAAACAUACCAUUCUGACAUGCAUGAAAAUGAAACGACAAAUUGAUACACGCAGUGCUUGGAAUGGAUGGAGUCCUUCUAAUGAGUGAUUACCUGUGGUAUAACUAUAUUGAUUGUGUUUGUACAUGUCAAAUGGGGCUGGCGAGGAUGAACUUGAAGAAAUCAAUCUUGGAACCUGCUAGGACAGCAGCCUCCUGGUUUCACAGUACUAAAUCAUGACUUCAAAAUUUUGAAGUAAAAGAAAACUGCAAAACUUUGUAAAGGUACCAGUCUCUUCCUGACACUAUUUGCCUUGGCAAAAGAUUCACUGUCAACUUAAAAGACUAACAUGUGCUCAGAUGAUGAUUUGUGGAGGACAGAUAAUUAUGAGUACAUUUAGAAAUACACACUCUUCCAAACCCUGCUCUUUCCAUAUAAUGAAGUUAUUUAUUUCUAUUUUUUAUUUAUUUUUCUAAUAAUUACAAACAUACUUUGGAGACCCACAUUCCUGUAUUAUUCUUUCAACAUACUGAAGAAGAGUUAUUUCUAUGCUUCUUUCUAUGUGUUGGGCUUAAGAUUUAUUAGAAGGAAUGUGUAAAAACAAAGGCAGCAAAGUUUCUAUUUUUAUUGGGAGUCACUCCCGGAGUAAGUGGGGAUAGUUGUGCACACACACACACACACAUUCAUGCACAAAGAAAGAGUGAUCAAGUGUAUAACACACUUUUAGCAGUGUUUUGCUGGAAGAAUAAAGUAUAACUCCUUGUCCGCCCUUUUAUUAUACUGGGGUUCACACUAAGAGAGUCUGAGGACCUGUGGAACUCCCAUUUGCAUGAAAUAACUUUUGCAUCUAUUCUGGAGGAAAACUUCCUAAGGCAGAUUUGGACAGAAAAUUGCUAUCAGCGCAAAUAAAACAAUGCAAAGCCUACUCCGGGGAACGUUGCUCUGCCACCACUACUGAAAUGGGUCAUCCCCUUGGUUUCUGAAUAAAGAAUUAUGAAACCUGGGGCUAGAAUGCUCAGGGAGGAAUUUACCAAUCCAAAUCUUCCCCUUAUGGUAGAGAACAAACUUUCAAGGUUUGUUCUCCACUGUAAGUGUGCGAGGGCUGUUAGGGACCGUAAUAUGGCUGCCGGAGACUGGUGUGUGUACCUCCUUGACUGUACGUCUCAUUUCCAGUUAUGAUUUUACAAUCAUCUCUUUCUCAACCUUUGCUUUUAAAUAUAGGAAGGUACGGCUCACCAUGGAGCGGACAUUUUCUUCAGGAGCGGUACGGUGUCUAAGAUAUGCAGAGGUUGUAUUCUAGUCCUAUAACUCAAUUCUCAAACACAUGGCUUUUAGCCAGGGAUAUCCUAAAGGAAAAUUACACUAUAUGCAACCCCUCCUUACUCCUCAAAUAUUAUCUAUAUUAAACACAGCUGAAAUUUGAGAGUGUCCUUACAGGUGAAAAUUUAACAAUUUAACAAAAGGACACUGCUGAAUGUGUGGGGACAAAGGAAGGAUGAAUCUUUCAUCAUGACAAAAGACUACUUGCCACAUUCUCCCUUAACUUAGAAAAACAGAAAAGAGGCUGGGCGUGGUGGCUCCUGCCUGUAACCUCAGCACUUUGGGAG